RNAcentral lists this ribosomal RNA (2906 nucleotides) under Klebsiella oxytoca. RNAcentral's name for it is "23S ribosomal RNA". It matches the Rfam family "Bacterial large subunit ribosomal RNA". The record is from RNAcentral. Lineage: Bacteria; Pseudomonadati; Pseudomonadota; Gammaproteobacteria; Enterobacterales; Enterobacteriaceae.
GGUUAAGCGACUAAGCGUACACGGUGGAUGCCCUGGCAGUCAGAGGCGAUGAAGGACGUGCUAAUCUGCGAAAAGCGUCGGUAAGGUGAUAUGAACCGUUAUAACCGGCGAUGUCCGAAUGGGGAAACCCAGUGCAAUUCGUUGCACUAUCGUUAACUGAAUACAUAGGUUAACGAGGCGAACCGGGGGAACUGAAACAUCUAAGUACCCCGAGGAAAAGAAAUCAACCGAGAUUCCCCCAGUAGCGGCGAGCGAACGGGGAGCAGCCCGGAGUCUGAAUCAGCUUGUGUGUUAGUGGAAGCGUCUGGAAAGUCGCAGGGUACAGGGUGAUACUCCCGUACACUAAAACACACAGGCUGUGAACUCGAAGAGUAGGGCGGGACACGUGGUAUCCUGUCUGAAUAUGGGGGGACCAUCCUCCAAGGCUAAAUACUCCUGACUGACCGAUAGUGAACCAGUACCGUGAGGGAAAGGCGAAAAGAACCCCGGCGAGGGGAGUGAAAAAGAACCUGAAACCGUGUACGUACAAGCAGUAGGAGCCCACUAGUUGGGUGACUGCGUACCUUUUGUAUAAUGGGUCAGCGACUUAUAUUCUGUAGCAAGGUUAACCGAAUAGGGGAGCCGCAGGGAAACCGAGUCUUAACUGGGCGUUAAGUUGCAGGGUAUAGACCCGAAACCCGGUGAUCUAGCCAUGGGCAGGUUGAAGGUUGGGUAACACUAACUGGAGGACCGAACCGACUAAUGUUGAAAAAUUAGCGGAUGACUUGUGGCUGGGGGUGAAAGGCCAAUCAAACCGGGAGAUAGCUGGUUCUCCCCGAAAGCUAUUUAGGUAGCGCCUCGUGAACUCAUCUUCGGGGGUAGAGCACUGUUUCGGCUAGGGGGUCAUCCCGACUUACCAACCCGAUGCAAACUACGAAUACCGAAGAAUGUUAUCACGGGAGACACACGGCGGGUGCUAACGUCCGUCGUGAAGAGGGAAACAACCCAGACCGCCAGCUAAGGUCCCAAAGUCAUGGUUAAGUGGGAAACGAUGUGGGAAGGCCCAGACAGCCAGGAUGUUGGCUUAGAAGCAGCCAUCAUUUAAAGAAAGCGUAAUAGCUCACUGGUCGAGUCGGCCUGCGCGGAAGAUGUAACGGGGCUAAACCAUGCACCGAAGCUGCGGCAGCGACACUAUGUGUUGUUGGGUAGGGGAGCGUUCUGUAAGCCGUUGAAGGUGGCCUGUGAGGGUUGCUGGAGGUAUCAGAAGUGCGAAUGCUGACAUAAGUAACGAUAAUGCGGGUGAAAAACCCGCACGCCGGAAGACCAAGGGUUCCUGUCCAACGUUAAUCGGGGCAGGGUGAGUCGACCCCUAAGGCGAGGCCGAAAGGCGUAGUCGAUGGGAAACAGGUUAAUAUUCCUGUACUUGGUGUUACUGCGAAGGGGGGACGGAGAAGGCUAUGUUGGCCGGGCGACGGUUGUCCCGGUUUAAGCAUGUAGGCGGAUGUUCCAGGUAAAUCCGGAACGUUACUAACGCUGAGGUGUGAUGACGAGGCACUACGGUGCUGAAGUGACAAAUGCCCUGCUUCCAGGAAAAGCCUCUAAGCAUCAGGUAACAUCAAAUCGUACCCCAAACCGACACAGGUGGUCAGGUAGAGAAUACCAAGGCGCUUGAGAGAACUCGGGUGAAGGAACUAGGCAAAAUGGUGCCGUAACUUCGGGAGAAGGCACGCUGAUGGUAAGUGAAGUGACUUGCUCACGGAGCUGAAAUCAGUCGAAGAUACCAGCUGGCUGCAACUGUUUAUUAAAAACACAGCACUGUGCAAACACGAAAGUGGACGUAUACGGUGUGACGCCUGCCCGGUGCCGGAAGGUUAAUUGAUGGGGUUAUCCUCACGGAGAAGCUCUUGAUCGAAGCCCCGGUAAACGGCGGCCGUAACUAUAACGGUCCUAAGGUAGCGAAAUUCCUUGUCGGGUAAGUUCCGACCUGCACGAAUGGCGUAAUGAUGGCCAGGCUGUCUCCACCCGAGACUCAGUGAAAUUGAACUCGCUGUGAAGAUGCAGUGUACCCGCGGCAAGACGGAAAGACCCCGUGAACCUUUACUAUAGCUUGACACUGAACACUGGUCCUUGAUGUGUAGGAUAGGUGGGAGGCUUUGAAGUGUGGACGCCAGUCUGCAUGGAGCCGUCCUUGAAAUACCACCCUUUAAUGGCUGGUGUUCUAACGUGGGCCCGUAAUCCGGGUUGCGGACAGUGUCUGGUGGGUAGUUUGACUGGGGCGGUCUCCUCCUAAAGAGUAACGGAGGAGCACGAAGGUCAGCUAAUCCUGGUCGGACAUCAGGAGGUUAGUGCAAUGGCAUAAGCUGGCUUGACUGCGAGCGUGACGGCGCGAGCAGGUGCGAAAGCAGGUCAUAGUGAUCCGGUGGUUCUGAAUGGAAGGGCCAUCGCUCAACGGAUAAAAGGUACUCCGGGGAUAACAGGCUGAUACCGCCCAAGAGUUCAUAUCGACGGCGGUGUUUGGCACCUCGAUGUCGGCUCAUCACAUCCUGGGGCUGAAGUAGGUCCCAAGGGUAUGGCUGUUCGCCAUUUAAAGUGGUACGCGAGCUGGGUUUAGAACGUCGUGAGACAGUUCGGUCCCUAUCUGCCGUGGGCGCUGGAGAAUUGAGGGGGGCUGCUCCUAGUACGAGAGGACCGGAGUGGACGCAUCACUGGUGUUCGGGUUGUCAUGCCAAUGGCAUUGCCCGGUAGCUAAAUGCGGAAGAGAUAAGUGCUGAAAGCAUCUAAGCACGAAACUUGCCCCGAGAUGAGUUCUCCCUGACUCCUUGAGAGUCCUGAAGGAACGUUGAAGACGACGACGUUGAUAGGCCGGGUGUGUAAGCGCAGCGAUGCGUUGAGCUAACCGGUACUAAUGAACCGUGAGGCUUAACCUU